UGGCGAACGGGUGAGUAACACGUGGGGAAUCUGCCUAUAAGUGGGGGAUAACAUUCGGAAACGGAUGCUAAUACCGCAUAUAUUCAAAAACCGCAUGGUUUCUGAAAGAAAGACGGCUUUGCUGUCGCUUAUAGAUGAUCCCGCGGCGUAUUAGUUAGUUGGUGGGGUAAUGGCCUACCAAGACCAUGAUACGUAGCCGACCUGAGAGGGUGAUCGGCCACACUGGGACUGAGACACGGCCCAGACUCCUACGGGAGGCAGCAGUAGGGAAUCUUCCACAAUGGGUGCAAACCUGAUGGAGCAAUGCCGCGUGAAUGAAGAAGGUCUUCGGAUCGUAAAGUUCUGUUAUUAGAGAAGAACAAGUCAAGGAGUAACUGUCUUGACUUUGACGGUACCUAACCAGAAAGUCACGGCUAACUACGUGCCAGCAGCCGCGGUAAUACGUAGGUGACAGGCGUUGUCCGGAAUUAUUGGGCGUA
Molecule: ribosomal RNA, 479 nt
Filed under: uncultured bacterium
Lineage: Bacteria
Description: bacterial SSU rRNA
Rfam family: Bacterial small subunit ribosomal RNA
Source: RNAcentral